CAGGCCUAACACAUGCAAGUCGAACGAAGGCUUCGGCCUUAGUGGCGCACGGGUGCGUAACGCGUGGGAAUCUGCCCUUGGGUUCGGAAUAACAGCGGGAAACUGCUGCUAAUACCGGAUGAUGACGUAAGUCCAAAGAUUUAUCGCCCAAGGAUGAGCCCGCGUAGGAUUAGGUAGUUGGUGAGGUAAAGGCUCACCAAGCCGACGAUCCUUAGCUGGUCUGAGAGGAUGAUCAGCCACACUGGGACUGAGACACGGCCCAGACUCCUACGGGAGGCAGCAGUGGGGAAUAUUGGACAAUGGGCGAAAGCCUGAUCCAGCAAUGCCGCGUGAGUGAUGAAGGCCUUAGGGUUGUAAAGCUCUUUCAGUGGGGAAGAUAAUGACGGUACCCACAGAAGAAGCCCCGGCUAACUUCGUGCCAGCAGCCGCGGUAAU
RNAcentral lists this ribosomal RNA (435 nucleotides) under uncultured bacterium. RNAcentral's name for it is "bacterial SSU rRNA". It matches the Rfam family "Bacterial small subunit ribosomal RNA", at positions 43 to 524 of the family's 1533-position model. The record is from RNAcentral.